Molecule: long non-coding RNA, 2100 nt
Organism: Astatotilapia calliptera (eastern happy)
Lineage: Eukaryota; Metazoa; Chordata; Actinopteri; Cichliformes; Cichlidae
Source: Ensembl
GUACCACACAAGCAGUCUCGUAUGUGGUGAUGCAUACGGUUCCUGCAUGCAAACACACACACGUCAGACCAGUCGAUAUUAAAACAAACAAAACAACAACAAAAAACUACACAUUUGUGUGGUAAUUUUUGCACUGACAUUCAGAAGUACAGUUUGAUUUGUGCAAACAAGAAGACAUUGUCUCUCCAGAUAAGUAAUUGCAGUAUCGCCGUAUAAGCAAAUCUCUCUCUGUGCCUAACCUCGCAGUGGCACAAUUUCACUCUUAUUAAGAAAAUCUGCAUUUAGGAGGGACCAAUGCUAUCAGUCGAAAUUAAUCUGCUUUGACUGAUCCUUAAUGUGACCACAGUCAUCGAGUAAUUAUUGUCUGGAUGGCUGUGCACCAGGCUCAUAACCGCCAUCCUCCUUCUCCUCCUCCUCCUGCCCCCCACAAAAGGGGCUAGCCUUGGUGUGUGAAUCCCUCAGCAGCGGGCUGGUUACAGUGGGUACGGCAGGCAUGUCAUUAAGCGCUUGAUCAGUGAGUCGUGAUUAGCCUGCCCUGUAUUAUUGUGAUUAACGUCUAUCCAGCGGACGACUGUCCCGUUGUCACCAGUGAUACCAUCUGAGAUCCUGAGAUUCUCGGGUGAAGGCCAGUGGAGGAACCUGGUAGUGUGGAUACACAAAUCUGUUCGCUUCAAUGAAGGCUGCUCCUCUUAAAUGCACACGCACCAAAAAAAACAAAACAACAAAAAACCCCACACACACCCUGUCAGUCACGAAAACGAAUGCAUUUAACGAGUGCAGCACUCUCUCCCCGUGCAGCUAUGUUUUGUCUGUGUGUCUUCUCUGAUUAGUUAACCCACUACCUCUUGUGCAGCUUGCAUGCUCUAUAGCAUUUCCAUCAGGCCACAUGCCUUUUGUCUGCGUGCGCGCUGAAAGACAAAAACCUCCUCUUCCUAUUGUGCUCCAUUUCUCUCUUUCAUCUCGUACUUCCUCGACCAACAAAGUCGAUUUGACCACGGCUGAUUAUUGUAACGAAGGCAGUCCAAGAGAAUAUGCACAUUCUCACUGUACGUCAGAUUCGAUCACAGCAAGGGGGGGAAGCCUCGCACUGACCCACGUCUCUUCCCCUCAGACAACUGGCUGCUUACACAGAGGGAGCUUUUGAGAACAGGCGCUGUGGACUGAACUGCAAUCGAAGUCUCACUUAUGCGGCGCUAAGGACACGGAAAGACAGUGGGAGGAAAUUGUUUUAAAUUAGGAAUUGAUAUAAGAAUGUGGCAAAAAGAAAAAGAAGAGGAAAACUAGUGCUAAACUGUGCCACACGAGAAACGGAGAUCAGACUACUUCUCUUUUUGUGCAUUUUAAAAGCAGCUAAAUAUAUAAAUACUUAAUAUAGUUCAGAUGUAUUCCCUGUAGCUUGGAUUUCAUGUUUUUUUUGUUUGUUUUUUUUAAUUCCCAAAAGUUUCAUUGAGCUUUUUCUUCACGAGCCCCUGUAUGCGUGUUUCAUUUCUUUGUAAUUACUCACCUAAACCCAGACCCUCUUCUCGUGGCUCUUGUGCUUCCGCCGGUGGAAAAGAGUCAGUUUUGAUUACAAAGUAAACGCUGCGGCAUCAGACAGGGGGGUUACAUGCUGAUAUGCAUUCUAUCAGGAUGAUUUAUGCAAAUUAUGCACAUUAUUCCCGCAGGAAUCUCUCUUCUGAAAGUGCCAGGAUAAAUUGCCGGAAAUUAGCCAUAAAAUUCACUGUGCAGGGAGUGUGAGGUGAAGGCCGCCAAGGAGCCAAGGACAUUGGGCCGCCAUGGUUACGCUUGGCCUGGCCUGCCUCCCCCAUGCUUGGCAUUCAUGGCUGUUAAAGACCUCUGCUCAGACAGAUAUACUGAAGCCUGGAGUGGCACUCAGCACAUCAGGAAGAUCAGCCAAGCAAGUGUUACACUAACGGCGGGGUUUCAUGCUCUAGUAACGUGACAGAUUUUUCAAAGGGAGGGAACGAGAUUGUUGGUUUAUUCUUCCCACGUUUUAGGCCGAAACCCACUUUGUAAAUUCUUCUGUGUUCCUAGAAAGUGGCAGCGCGUUAUCAUUGAGUAGCUGGCCUCAGAUCCAGUCACCGUUUGAACUGUUUUAUG